RNAcentral lists this ribosomal RNA (253 nucleotides) under uncultured bacterium. Its description in RNAcentral is "partial 16S ribosomal RNA". It matches the Rfam family "Bacterial small subunit ribosomal RNA", at positions 524 to 776 of the family's 1533-position model. The record is from RNAcentral.
UACGGAGGGUGCGAGCGUUGUCCGGAAUCACUGGGCGUAAAGGGCGCGUAGGCGGCGCGGAAAGUCGUCGGUGAAAGCUCGGGGCUCAACCCUGAGUCUGCCGGUGAUACUCCCGCGCUCGAGCUCACUAGAGGCAGAUGGAAUUCCGGGUGUAGCGGUGGAAUGCGUAGAGGUCCGGAAGAACACCGGUGGCGAAGGCGGUCUGCUGGGGUGAGGCUGACGCUGAUGCGCGACAGCGUGGGGAGCAAACAGG